GACGAACGCUGGCGGCGUGCUUAACACAUGCAAGUCGAACGGAAAGGCCCUGCUUGCAGGGUACUCGAGUGGCGAACGGGUGAGUAACACGUGGGUGAUCUGCCCUGCACUUCGGGAUAAGCCUGGGAAACUGGGUCUAAUACCGGAUAGGAGCCAUUUUUAGUGUGAUGGUUGGAAAGUUUUUUCGGUGUAGGAUGAGCUCGCGGCCUAUCAGCUUGUUGGUGGGGUAAUGGCCUACCAAGGCGGCGACGGGUAGCCGGCCUGAGAGGGUGGACGGCCACAUUGGGACUGAGAUACGGCCCAGACUCCUACGGGAGGCAGCAGUGGGGAAUAUUGCACAAUGGGCGCAAGCCUGAUGCAGCGACGCCGCGUGGGGGAUGACGGCCUUCGGGUUGAAAACUCCUUUCGCUAGGGACGAAGCUUUUUGUGACGGUACCUAGAGAAGAAGCACCGGCUAACUACGUG
This 465-nucleotide ribosomal RNA is filed under the name uncultured bacterium. Its description in RNAcentral is "partial 16S ribosomal RNA". It matches the Rfam family "Bacterial small subunit ribosomal RNA", at positions 28 to 507 of the family's 1533-position model. The record is from RNAcentral.